UGGAUAUUGUGUACUAGGCAACUUUUAAGAAUGUCUGAAAGUGGCAGGCAUGGGAGGCAGAACUAACAGCACUGAAGAAGGUGACAAAGUGGGGAUGAUGUAGCCUUGACCCAACAUCCUGUGAACAACUAAAAGGCCUGCCUCGGCUGACUCCAGC
Molecule: long non-coding RNA, 157 nt
Organism: Suricata suricatta (meerkat)
Lineage: Eukaryota; Metazoa; Chordata; Mammalia; Carnivora; Herpestidae
Exons: 3
Source: RefSeq, a predicted model, not a curated record